UACGUAGGAUGCAAGCGUUGUCCGGAAUUAUUGGGCGUAAAGAGCGCGCAGGCGGUCUAUCAAGUCAGAUGUGAAAUAUCCGGGCUUAACCCGGAGGGGUCAUUUGAAACUGGUAGACUAGAGUACAGCAGAGGAUAGCGGAAUUCCCGGUGUAGUGGUGAAAUGCGUAGAUAUCGGGAGGAACACCGAUGGCGAAGGCAGGUCUCUGGGCAUUAACUGACGCUGAGGAGCGAAAGCAUGGGGAGCGAACAGG
Molecule: ribosomal RNA, 253 nt
Filed under: uncultured bacterium
Lineage: Bacteria
Description: partial 16S ribosomal RNA
Rfam family: Bacterial small subunit ribosomal RNA
Source: RNAcentral